RNAcentral lists this long non-coding RNA (1974 nucleotides) under Olea europaea subsp. europaea. The record is from RNAcentral. Lineage: Eukaryota; Viridiplantae; Streptophyta; Magnoliopsida; Lamiales; Oleaceae.
UUUUGUACUCAAAUAGAACUCGUCUUUUGGGAUCUCAAAAGUUGAAAUUCCUCUUUCUAAAAUAAGAACAUGAAAAUACUCGUGUAAAAUUUGCGUCUUGAGAGAGAGAGAGAGAGAGAGCGUGGGAGGAUGCUGCCAUUAAAGCUGGUUCGUUCACUGGUUCUUUCUGAUACCAACCCUCUUCUUCCCCAAAAUCAGUUUUUCUUUAAUCACAAUAAUCACCAUGAAAAUGUUGAUGAUUCUAAUUUCAAUAGCAGCACUAACCCCAAAUCAAGAACCAAAAUCCCAGUAAUGAUUUUCAAUCCCACCCAAGAAUUGGUAAAAGACACGUACAGAUUAGCCAAACUUGCCAGAGAAAUUGGCAUGGAUCUUCAUCCAAACCCAUCUCUCUCACACAUCAUCUUCUCAUGGCCAUCGUGUUCAUGGUCAUUGGGAAACGACGCAGCUCCAUUGCCAUUCCCAUCUCUGACCACAGCUUCCAUGUCCCACUUGCGCCUCUUUGUCAAUCUGUCCAGAGGCUUCUUCAAGCUGGUUUUCUUGAAAAAUAAUCACAGCCCACUUGAAAAAAUCGAGUCUUUGAACAAUAACAACUGGGAUUGCACCUCAAGUUGUUUGUUUUCAAGAGUCACUGGUCAGAGAAUACACUCAAUGAAUGGGUUUUCUAAGGCUUUGCUUGGAAUGGGAUGGACGCUUUUCAAGACUAAUACUAAUAGCCAAUCUUUUCAAGAUUCCAUGGAUAGGCCUCUGUACUUGUAUAGAAAGUUGGGUACGAUUAAAAUGUGUAACAUUAUAAAUCUUCCUAAUGGAAAUGGGGAUGUUGGGGAGUGUUGUAGGGUUAGAGAAUUGAGGUUGCCUCCAUUGGAUUUCAGGAACCUGCCUUUGAGGAUUUUGCAGUACAUUCUUCUGAUGACUGAUGAUGCUUUUUAUCUUGCCUAGACUAAUCAGGUCAGCGUUUCAUAAUUGUUGUUUUUCAGUUUCGUUUCUUUUUAUGUUUAUGGGGCUAAUUGUUGUUCCUGGUAGAAGUAUUUUAGCCUACGAAAAUUUAGCCUUUUUAUUAUUUUAUUUUUUUGGCAUUUUUAAGCAUUAGAUGAAGAAAUUUAAAGUAUUGAAAGUACCACUUGAAUUUGGAACAAUUUGGAGAAUUUCUUCUGAGAUUAUUUAGGCCAAUUGUACUUGGAAUGUCAUUACAAGCAUCUUAUGUAAGAUCUACUUUUCUUUAGUGUUAUAACUUGUGAAGAUUCUUUUCCUCCAUGGAAGGGGCUCCUUGAUGCAGUUGAUUUUUAUACAGAAGAGGACAAUGUUGAAAGUUUAAACCAUGUGAAAAGUUGCAUCAGCAGUUCCAAUCCUAUCUAGUUUUGGAUUCCUCACUCACAAACACGCCUCAAGAAAAUCGCAGCGUUAGUUCAUGAAGUCAAAGAAACGUGUUGGUUUUGAUUGAUAGAAGGAUCAAAAGAUUAUAAUAUUAGAUCUUGAAGAUAAAGUUUAGUACAUCUGGAACAAUCUCACCCUACCAAGCGAGGCUGAGUGGAGGAACAUCAGUAACGCAUCCCACUUUUCACAUUUUUAUUCUUUGCUGUGGGAGCUCUAUGAAGAUAAUCGAGCUCCCUGUGUUGGGGAGGCCUAAAAGAGGCUGAACUGAAAGAAGAAAUAUAUAGUUAGUUUAGAAGGCCGCCUUGUGGUUUUCUUCUGAAAUAUCUGAAAGUUAGAUUGAUAAGGCAACAUGAACACAGUAUUGGAUUGGUUGGAAACUGCAAAAGAUAUUAACAGAAUUUCUGCUGAUGGAUCGACCGAGUCAUUAUUUUGUCCACUCUUACUCUAUAUAUACAUAUUAGAAAAUGAGUUAGGUAAGGGAUUUUUCACAUAUACCUGCUUUCCAACUUUUAUUAUAUUUGAUUCGAUUCAAGAACAAUGGCAGAAAGAGUAGUUGCACUUUCUGAUGGGUAUAUAGGACACAGUCUGUUAUCUUUUUUCUUG